UGUUGGCUGUGUGGAGAAGAAGAGUCAGUGCUGUGAGGAGCUGCCCAUGAGAAAUCACCAAGAAGGUAUUCACAGUACCAGCACAGCUAUCAGGACAUCUACACGCCAAACAUUAAAGGAGAUCCAGGGACGUUUACCAGGAAAUGGAAGAUAAAUUCAGUGAGCAGGGCACUGGGACAUUUGUGGCUUCAGAAGAGUUGCAAAAAAACAGUAACCUGACACUUAUUUACUGAAGAUUGAUAUAAUAGACUACAAUCUGUGCAACAAGCAGAGUUUUAUAAAUAGCCUUGACCAGUCCAAAGACCUCAGGGAUUCCAUCCAUGAGAGGUAUGUCUUUUCAACUGAAAAGGAAAACUAUUGUGAAAAUCAAGUUCAUGAAGAAGGAGUGGAGGAAUUUAAAUAUGUAGGGUGUGGAUUUCAAAAGCACUGAACUUUGAUUUGCACCGUCUUUCAAGUGAAGUCAACUGUGAAACUGUUACUGACUUCCACAGGAGCAGAGCCACGGCCUCAUCCAUGCAGCCAGCAAUUCCACCUGUGAGUCCUGAAAUGCAUUUAGGUCUUGGUGAGCCACAUCCAGUGGGUCUGACAUGGGUGGAACAUAAUGGAGAAACACUUAGUGAUUCAUGCAAACAAGGACCAGAAGAAAGAAAACAGAAGUAGCAUCUGUGAAGUAAUUCCUGAUGCACAGCACCUGAAAUACCUAUUGAUCUGUGACUGAAUUGCUGAUUUUGGAUACAGUGAACAUAAUCAGUCUACUUCAAUGUCUGCUAGGAAUGACCAGCCCUUUUCCAGACAUGCACAAUGGAUAACAGAAGAUGAAGGAGGAACACGAGAAUGUCUGAGUUCAUUGUCUGAAUUGCCUUCAAAGGGAUCUCUUGCUCUACAUGGAGGAGAGGAGAGUGGAGGAGAGGUUUGGCUUCUUUCUUCCCCUACAGCCCUACAGCAUGGCCCCAGCAAACUGUGCAGUCCCCUAGACAUCUCAUGAUAUUGAUAUUGAGAUAUUACACUCCACAUGGUCCCAGUGCAUGUAGUUUCACACUCCUCCUGAAAACUGCAACUGAACACUCUCUCACCUGCAAAAAAACCCAAACCCCACUAGAUUUAUACAAGUGAGACACCACAGAAGCCCAAAGGAGAUCCAGGAAAAACGCUAUGUGAUGUGGAUGUUCAGAUUAGUUCCAGAGGUAGCUGGCUUUCAGCACUGUAACACGAAUCAGUCUCUGUUACCCAUGCUUUGGGCAAGGGUACAGUAAAAUAAAUCUACCUACGCUGUCUGCUACACUUUCUGCAUAAAAAGA
Molecule: long non-coding RNA, 1298 nt
Organism: Passer domesticus (house sparrow)
Lineage: Eukaryota; Metazoa; Chordata; Aves; Passeriformes; Passeridae
Exons: 4
Source: RefSeq, a predicted model, not a curated record